Molecule: ribosomal RNA, 699 nt
Filed under: Galerucinae s.s. sp. JJG446
Lineage: Eukaryota; Metazoa; Arthropoda; Insecta; Coleoptera; Chrysomelidae
Description: eukaryotic LSU rRNA
Rfam family: Eukaryotic large subunit ribosomal RNA
Source: RNAcentral
CAUUCGCGUUUCGACGUCGAAGUUAAACGUUCGCAUGACGGACGAGGGCAGUUUCGGCUUCUUCUUCGUUCGCGUCUUACGUUUUUCGAAUCGAUGUCGAACGCGUGCACUUUUCCUCUAGUAGGACGUCGCGAUCCGUUGGGUGUCUGUCUAAGACUCGAGGUGGAGCCCACGCGAUUUUCGAUGAUCGCGUUGACCCUCGACGUUCCGACAGACUCGCUCGACGGUAUAAUAAUGGCGCGAGGCCGCUACCUUAGUUAGCGUUCGGCCCGUAGCAAGCACGUUCCGUGUUAUCGACAGCGAUCGGACCUAGUGCCGAUUCUGUUACGGAACGACUGUUGGUUACGACGUUCUAUCUCGAACAGACCUCGUAUACGAAACGCCGAUCAGCGACGCUAUCGAUUUGGGUACUUUCAGGACCCGUCUUGAAACACGGACCAAGGAGUCUAGCAUGUGCGCGAGUCAUUGGGAUACGACUAAACCUAAAGGCGUAAUGAAAGUAAAGGUUUACCUUUCGCGUAGACCGAGGGAAGAUGAGCGGUUCGCCAUUAAAAGUGACCGCUCCGCACUCCCGGGGCGUCUCGUUCUCAUCGCGAGAAGAGGCGCACCAAGAGCGUACACGCUGGGACCCGAAAGAUGGUGAACUAUGCCUGGUCAGGACGAAGUCAGGGGAAACCCUGAUGGAGGUCCGUAGCGAUU